GUAGUCCACGCCCUAAACGAUGUCGACUGGUUGUUGGGGAAGGAAACUUCCUUAGUAACGAAGCUAACGCGUGAAGUCGACCGCCUGGGGAGUACGGCCGCAAGGUUAAAACUCAAAGGAAUUGACGGGGACCCGCACAAGCGGUGGAUUAUGUGGAUUAAUUCGAUGCAACGCGAAAAACCUUACCUACCCUUGACAUGGCAGGAAUCCCGAUGAGAGUCGGGAGUGCCCGAAAGGGAGCCUGCACACAGGUGCUGCAUGGCUGUCGUCAGCUCGUGUCGUGAGAUGUUGGGUUAAGUCCCGCAACGAGCGCAACCCUUGCCAUUAAUUGCCAGCAAUUCGGUUGGGCACUUUAAUGGGACUGCCGGUGACAAACCGGA
This 380-nucleotide ribosomal RNA is filed under the name uncultured bacterium. RNAcentral describes it as "bacterial SSU rRNA". It matches the Rfam family "Bacterial small subunit ribosomal RNA", at positions 790 to 1167 of the family's 1533-position model. The record is from RNAcentral.